UACGUAGGGACCAAGCGUUGUCCGGAAUCAUUGGGCGUAAAGAGCGUGUAGGCGGCUUGUUAAGUCUUGCGUGAAAUCUCGGGGCUCAACCCCGAGCGGUCGUGAGAAACUGGCAGGCUAGAGUGCGGGAGAGGAGAGUGGAAUUCCUGGUGUAGCGGUGAAAUGCGCAGAUAUCAGGAAGAACACCCGUGGCGAAGGCGGCUCUCUGGGCCUGUACUGACGCUGAGGAGCGAAAGCGUGGGGAGCGAACAGG
RNAcentral lists this ribosomal RNA (253 nucleotides) under uncultured bacterium. Its description in RNAcentral is "partial 16S ribosomal RNA". It matches the Rfam family "Bacterial small subunit ribosomal RNA", at positions 524 to 776 of the family's 1533-position model. The record is from RNAcentral.